Small nuclear RNA from Bison bison bison, 126 nucleotides. The record is from Ensembl. NCBI's taxonomy places the organism in Eukaryota, Metazoa, Chordata, Mammalia, Artiodactyla, Bovidae.
GUGUUAUAUGAAAGGAGAGAAGGAUAGCACUCCCCUUGACAAGGAUCGACAAGGCUCUCAGGCCUAACAACAUGCAUACAGUUAAGACAAUGCCAACUACUUUGUGGCAUCUAACCACUGUUUGGG